Molecule: RNA transcript, 11469 nt
Organism: Osmia lignaria (orchard mason bee)
Lineage: Eukaryota; Metazoa; Arthropoda; Insecta; Hymenoptera; Megachilidae
Source: RefSeq, a predicted model, not a curated record
AAUAUAGCUGACCACAUCUGUGUUUAUUACUGUUCUUUGUUUAAUGCAACUGUAUUGGACAAUUCACGAUAUUUAUAGCAGCCAAUAAAAUUUCUGUAUUUUUUGUAGGGACCAAUAGCAUUCCACCAUUUUUAACCUUGAUAAACUUAAAUAUUCAAGUUUCUAUUUAAUGGUAUACAUAAUAAUAAAUAUUUAUAUCAGGUUUAUUAGUGGUUAUUCAUGAGAAAUAUAUUAAUUAGGGUACUAUAGUUAUAUGUAUGUUUGUUUGAAAUUGGCUUUCAAAUCUAAUAUGUACAUACCGACUUUUCAGGCCUCGGGGCGUGUAACGGGAAUCGUCAGAACUAAGUUGAAAAUCACAGAAGUGUUCGUUAGUUUGGGUCCUCCUGCGUCAUUGAAGUGUUCCUCAAAAUCGAGCGGGGUUUCCCAUUGUUCAGUACGUAUUUAUGAUAUGUAUAUAAUGAGAAACUUAAUUUGAUAGUAAAACACACGAAACCGUGUAUUUUCUGAGAUCUAGUAGCAGGAAGGAAUUAUAAAAUAUUGUAAAUGGCUCGCAUGUUCCAAUAUGUACGUCCUGUUGAUGCUGUCCUGACAUCUGUAACUUUGGGCACAAGACCAGAUGGUUGUUAUUUCUGAACCUGAUACCCGGAAGGUUCUACAGUGAAUUUGAUCCAGAAGAGGUCCUGAUCAGUUUCUACUCCUGCUAAUCUUGCAAUCCAGUGGCAUGAAUUCAUUGAAGGUUGAUGUAGCCAAAAGUGGGUCAAUUGGAGCUGGCCCAUUACGUUGGCGAACUCGCCGCACAUAAGAACCGGUGAAGCCAAGCAAAUUGGUACUUUCGUUACAAACGGUCAAUCAAGAUGGCGCUUAUUAACUCGUAAUUUUCACUUUUAGUUGGGUUCAUCGCGACAAACCAAUUCGUACGUUCUGCUCCCUCUUACAACUUUCUAUAUUUGGACGAAACUUUGGGUUAACGAGGACCAUUUUAAAAAGUAUCCCUUUCAGAAUUCACUUUCGAUUGAAAGCACUUUCCUGAUUAACGGGAUGAGAAUCAAAAUACUUAUAAUAAAGAAGUAGAAGGGGAAGGUGUUGUAACUAAUUUAAGAAAGUGCUCGUUGGUACCGUAACGAAUCGCAUUUCCUUCUUUCUUUUCUGCUUUCUUCCGGUCCGUGUUUACCCGGUGAGCCAGCUUUAUCGUAGCUCCGAGUGGAUUCAGAGGACCCCGGCCAUCGUAAAGUCAAUGAGACCUCGACUCCCUUACAUUUUUCAAGGGCCCUGGCUUUCCCAGCUAUAAAUUACUGUCCGCCUUUGAUCGUUCCCUUCCUCCCGUCGCUUUUCCAUCCACUCACUUGCGACAAAUACCUCUUCGUUGAAAGAUUUUCGGGAGAAAAGUCGCGCCUGAGGGUCUGACGAUGCUUUUUGCGCGAGAAAUAAUCAUGUGGACGUUAAUCCUUUGAGAAAAGCGAACUUUUUUCAGAGGUGAUGCGAUAUUGAAUAGUAGAUGGAUGCCUAGACGCUGCGCCACUUUUUAUCAACUGUGAUUUUUCCAGCAUUAUAGCUUCAUCAGAGGUAUAAGAAUAGCCUCGGUGGAAAUACCGACGGCGUAUGGCCGAUAAGAAGAGAACGGGAAAGAAAAGUACGCGCGGAGAGAAAGGGAGAAUCCCUAGGGGGUCGUGUCGAGUCGGACAGUCGACGAUAAAGAGGGUUGGGUGAGCUCAAUCUGAAAAGUUUCUUUACGAUGGUAGGUACGCCGACUCGUAAAAUUCUGUACGAAUCAAGUGUCGAGCGUAUGAAAAGGGCAACGUCGAAAGUGGAAAGAAAAGAAAGCAGGAGCCGAGCAGGCGAGUAGAAGAUGAGAGGGGUAAAGAGGGUGAAACUGUGGGAAGAAGUCACUUUGUGGAAACGUUUCGACGAUAUCGCGAUCGCCGGUAUAGAGAACCGAGAAUAAAAAGAUUCUCUGAAUACGGUAUUUCCGUGGCGAACUUUUCCUCGCUGAAUCAGCCGCGUAACGACCAAAAAUUCUACAAUUAUUUUCGCCACGGAUCCGAGGGUGAGGGAGGAGAACACGGAAGUCGAUCGGAUGUACCGCGAACCAGUGAAACGUUUCAACUAAAAAGUUAUCGUUCUCGUUGGAUCGAGUUCCAGUCACGGAAUACUUCUUGCACGAAACGGCCGUUCGCAAUGGCCUUCUUCACCUUUCUUAACUCGACCGAAAGGGUCUUCGUAACUGACUCGCUGGAAUUCGAAGAAUAUUUCUCGAACCGAGAACUAUCUUCCCUCGUUUUCCGCCAAACUGGCUGAGACAGGACGCUCUCCUGGAAAGAGAGAAAAGGAAAAAUUAGAAUACCGACUGGUGACAGGGAGACACUUUGGUGACGUUGAUUUAUGGAGUCCGAUUCGGUGCCCGGUGUAAUUGUAAAGCGGUUAACACCUUGACUGGCAUAAUGGGAACAACUGACUCUAGUACGUGAAAAUUUCCCUGAAAAUUUUCUACAUUCUACGUAUUUUUAAAUUUCGAAUACGAAAAAUGCAACGCCGAUAUGGAUCUGUGCUAUGCAGCGAUAAAACGCAACGUUUGUCCUGGAAAAAAGAAAAUUACCGUAAAAGAACAAAGUUUGGAUUUUUUUCAAAAAAAUAAAAAAUAAAAAAGAAGGAAUUCACGCGAAAAGCUAAAGUUUACCGAAUCGUAAAUGCCUCUUUUCCCAUUUUGAACGUUGCGAAUGGCUGCGAUACGCGAGCUUCCUGUGUACAGGCGUAUCAGUACGGUAUCGUAUUUCAGCCGAAACUUUGUUUCCUGGCAGACUUGAUUAUGCGCGUCCCCAUUUUUCGCCUAAUUUCCCUCGUUUUAUCCGGCGGCUCGCAAAUCCGGUACGCAGCGUCCACGUAACAUUUGGCGUCCCGUUAACCCGAAUAUCGAUACGAAAUUCGACCGUGUUUUUCAAACGGCUAACAAAAUUCCCUUGUUGUCUGGUAACAAGGAAUUACGUGUCGAUACUCGUCGAUUUCACCGGCAAACCGCUGCGCAUCGUUCGGUUAACAAGCGACACAAUUUCAAUUUCGUUUACCGAUUUUACAUCGACCGGUGAUCAACAGAAAAUACACGUGAAAGUUUUAAUUUGUUACAGGCAACAACUUUAACGGGGAUGAUAGAAAGGAAAACGAUAAACUAUUUAAUUUAGACUGUGUGUUGAACAGUUCUUCGAGCACCGAAUGGCAGGAAAUUAAAACGCAAUCCUUGGAUCUUCAGCCGAAGCUCUGAUUUACGUUCUCCUUAAGUCGAGCAUACCCCGAGGGGAGGUUUUUAACUUUCUUCCUCUCCGCGAUCAUUUCUGUUUCGACGUUAUUGCCUCGUGGAAGGGAAAUAAAUUUUCAUUUCCUUUUCUAGAAUUUCCUCCAUCAACAAAUAGAAUCUUCCAAUUUAUAUUUUCCAAGAAAAUAAUGUGUCAAGCGUAGGCUAUGAAAGUGUAAUUACCAUUUUGGAAUUUUGAAUAAAUCAGCUAUGAAAGCAUAGUAUAAGAUCGUUUCUCGUUGAAAUUAUUCUUGCUAAUGAAUUUUAAUCGGACGCAUGAUAGAGAAAUUCCAGGAAGUAUAAGUAAUCUUCUCCGCGUUGCCUCGUAUUGUUCUUUGCAAUAUACAAGAAAUCACGGCCAGGAAAUUCAUGGGAACUUUUCUUUCGUUUAUUUCAUCGACAUUCACUUUGAUGAUAUACACACUAUAAAACGCGAUUCUCGUUAAUUUUCAAUCGACCGUUUACUUAAAUACGCUUCGUUUCCGUUGAUAAACGGUAAAUACGUGGAAAUAAAUCCUGCCCUCGUCUCUCCUUUUACCUCCCUGUGAAAUACAUUUCAUUUCAUUUCACGAAACGUUUAAUCGGUAUCCACGAAUUCGCAUUGCUGGAUUGUAAAUCAUCAACGAAGACCGUUUACUAUUAAAUCUUGCAUAAUCUGCUGAUUACCCGUGUCAAAGAAGCCCAUAAUUGUGUUUGACGGGUGGAAAACGCUCUCUGAUAAGUGUAACGGGCUCCAGAAAACCGGAAGUAAUUACAAUUAACGACGCGUGUAAUCGAAAUGACCCCGUUGUAAAUUGCGCGUUCAAUUUUCGUUUUACUAAAAGUGAAAUUUCAUUUACUUUUGCAACAGAAUUUUCAUGGGAGUUCACUGAUUAAUGUUACAUCGUCGAGUGGACGGGAUCAGAGUUUCGUUAGGGAUUCAAGGAUGCAACGAUCCUUUUCGAUGGAAAAUCGGUGGAAAAAUGGAAAUUGAAGAGAAGUCUCAGAAUCGUGCCAGUAUCUCAAGAUUAUUGCUUUCAUCCCUCUCGAAGGAUUUUACAGUCGCCAAGCGAACCACUUUUCUACGAUUGUUCGAUCGUUCAAGGAUAUGCUCUGCCACUUGCUGCCCUUUUUUCCUUCCGUUUAUUACCUUCGGUUAUCGAACUUACACUCCUUACUGUCUUUUAUCCAUUUUUUUACUAUUAAUCAAUUUUUCUACAGUAGUAGGUCACGUACCUACGCGUCACAGACCAGGUCCCUAUUCUUUAACAAGUACCAGGAUAUCUUUGAUUCGAUCCACGAUCCGAUCGUGCGUACAAUUUUCCAGAACACAAAGGUCAGAAACGGGCCAAUUAUUUUCACGGUGCAUUUGAAGGUACAUGGAUGCAGAUUUCGAAGACGCGGUGCAACAGAGCGAAUCACGUUUCUGCGAUUCGCUACGAUCCGUCAGAAUUGUUUCCUCUUGCUUAAAAUUCGCAUACCUACAUUCUUCCGGCGAAAAAUUGGAGAACGUUUCAGAGGGGAUACUACGAUGCUGGACUUCUCUGUGGCGUUUAAAAAAUGGUCCAACCUACGUGACUCUACGUUCCGUUGUUUAUUGUAUUUUGAAAAUCGUAAAAUCAACGAGCGGAAAACUACGCGAUUUUCCGAAAGAUUGACUCUACCCAAUAGACUUUUUCAUAAUUUUUCUCGUGGAGAAUGAAGAUAAAACGAAUUCCUUGUUUCAUUAAUUCACAUUUACAUUAAAACCUGAGGAUAUUUUUCAAGAUAAACGUAAGCGAAAAGUGUGGUAACUUGAGAAACGAGGGUAGGAAAUAGGAGUUCAGGUUGGCAACGAGCGAAUAAUACGAUUAGAAGAACGCGAAUUUCCUUCGACGAACGUUUAAGCUGUUCGAUACGGUAGGAGAGCAUCGAGGCAGCUGUAACAGGGUAAUUGAAUAAAAAUAUCGAGCUUCAACGGCGGAAUGCAAAGCGCCCUUAAACUCGCUUCUCGCCCAGGGAGAGGCUAAUCGUCGAAUUACCGUAACGACCGCUCCGAUCUCACGAAUUACGCGCGUGUUUUCGUGUUACCUGUUCGAAAGUGGCCAGAAAAAAAGCGACAGCUAACUUCUAUUUCAAGGAUCGGAACCGUUGUUACCUUGUUAAGCGAAGGGGAAAAAAAAGAGGGAACGACUUUAAUUACCAUCUAUUUUCAGGACUUGGUGUUUGAAUAAAACACCAGGUAUGCGCUACAUGAAUUUAAAGCUUGAAACUUGAUGAAAACGACAAUUAAUUCAGUGAUACGUGAAAACAGUUUUUAGUGUUUUCAAAGUAUCCUGAAAGCUCUUUACGAAUGCAUAAUUUACUUCAUAAAUGUUUCUUAAAGAUCUUUUGAAACCUUCAGUUAAUCCGUUCCUUUCUUACGUUAUUCGAAACGUUUCAUGCGUUGUUAACGUUUAACGAGCACCGAAGUAUGUAAACGAGGGCAACGUGAGGAGAGAGAAAAAAACGAAAAAGAGAAAAAGGUCGCCUGCGUCUUGUAAAGGAAUAUUUCGGAACAAACGAGAGACGCGCCGUUUUAAACGGGGACACGAGAAUCUGCAUAACGAAUUUCUAGGGAAUUAUCAUAAACGUAGCUUUCAGCUACACUUAAUCCUCGCCCGCAUUAACGCGACAGACACUGUGGUUUAAGUUUCUCUUCAUCCGAAUACGUCCUCUGACGAUUUCAAUCCUUCCUAGAUCUACUUUCCUCGGAGACUGUAAUCAAUGCCGUUGAAAGUAAGCUCUGCUUUGAACUUGUGCCCAGCUGACAAGAAAAAAGCGCGAAAAAACGAGCGGGCAACUGAUUCUUUGCCGGAGCAGCAGGCCAUUGACCUAUACUACUGCGGACACCAGCCACGUGGCGCGCAUUCGAUCCGCUUACACUAUUGUUUGCCAACUUGACGAUACUCUGUUUUAUGUUUACAUGCACAGUAAAAUUUAAUGAAACUAAUUGAAUUUAAAAUCGUACGCGACUAACAAAUACCUCAAAUUAUUCAAAAUCUGCUCCGCAACGCAAUUGAAUGUAUUUGAAAUUUGUUGAAAUACUAAUGAAAUACGUGUUGAAUGUUUUAAUUAACGUUUCAACUUUCAUGUCUGAUUUACUUCGUUCCAAAUAUGAAUUUUUUACAAAAAUAAAUCAGAGUUCAUUGUAACAAAUUCUGUUUCCAAAAUUCGUCCGUAUCAAAUUAAACUUAUUUCAUUCGCAGAAAAUUUUCACGUUCGUUGUAUCACGUUUAAUUAAUAUUAUUAAUAUUAAUUUCAUUCGCUUGACGAACGUACACGGCCCUCAAUAUUUUAUACUUACCUCGAGUUGGAACCGUGGUAUGUUUAAAAAUCUUGAAGAAUGUAAUCGAGGAAUAUCUAAAGGAGGAAAUUUCCGUAUCGCAGAAGGGCUACCCAGUCGAGAUCGUCCUGUUUCGUAGCAAAGAACAUCUCGAAUCGAUCCGUUCUGCUUCAGGAAAGAUCUGAAAUCUCAUAAACUAAAAAGACGAUCAGUUUCCGUUCGUAUCUGCCGAGGGAACGACAUUUUUCUGCACAAGAAAUUGAAGGACGACGAAGAGAAAACGAGCAACCGGGUUAAUAGAAAAGCUAUUUUUAUUCUUUAAUCUCAUAUUCAGUCGUGAAAAAUCCUUCGCUACAUCCAAAGUACGUACGACAUGUGCAGAAUCGGAUACAUUACGUUAUACACGUUAAUACAAAUCGUAUUGCUCGAUCGUUCGGAACAUCGUGUGUGUACAUGAGCCUGUGUUACAUGUAUAUUUAUAUAUUUAUAUUACUUAUAUUAUAGGUGUGGACGUGGUGUUGAAUGUCGAUGUGUACACAAUUUGUCUCAAAAAAUAAGAGACCGACUUUUUCAACAAACAGCCAGAAAAUUUCGAUUGAGAUUAUUGAUAAGUUUCGAAUCGAUGUAGAACUAGGUAAAAGUAGAGCGAGAUUCGCUCUAAAGCCAACCCUUGGAGCUAACUGAAAAAAAAAAAAAAAAUUUUUUUUCUUCAGCCAUUCGUUGAGAUUUUGACCCACUAAACACAAUGGCGCAAGAAUUUUUUGACCUGUACAAAAGUGACAGAAAGUCUAAAUUCUUUAGCCCCCUUCUCAAGAUUUCCAAUCAUAGAUACGGGUUGGCUAAUAAGUGGUAUUUCGAGAUACUUUUACUUGAACCUAACGUUUUGAGAAGAACCACCAUACGUCAGAGAGGAACUAGCAAGUGAAAAAUCAUUAAAGAAAUCAAUCUCGUUACUUUUUGGACAAAGCACGCACGUGUGCACAAACGAUACUGAUUGUGUGCGGGUGUAUGUGUGUGUAGGUGGCGGUGCGGAAUCGUAACUAUCUCCGCAGCAAGUUUUACGGUCGAAAGGAGGGUCGAACGAGAUCGAUACGUCUGCCCUCGAUUCUCUACUCCUCUCAGCCCCCUUUUUCUCCGAUUUUUUUUUUCCCUUCCUUUUUCUCGUUCUCCACCCUUCCAACCUAACCCAUUCCCGCUUUUACUCCCUUUUCCAACGAUUAUGAGCCACGAGAAACCCUCGCGUCGGGGUACCGACACGCGCCGACUCGCGCUUUUCCAUCGAGAUUCUUUUUCCACCCUCCUCGACACGCUUCCCCGUUUCUCGCCGCUCUUCAGAACCUCUGGAAUUCCAUUUCGACUCGCAACGGCAAACCUAACGCUCGUUACGUCGUUCGAGCUUAGAAAAAUACUGUUCCUAUUUCAAGGAAAACGGAUAUGAGACUUGAAGAGCUUAAAGUACUCGCUGAGAGGAUAAAAAGGAUCAUCUAGCUGACCAACACCAAAUUGUGUUCUUUUUUUUUUAUCAAACAUCCUCCAUAGAGUGUAUUCUUGGAUCUCGUUCAAUUUAGUUCGUAGACGAUUCUCCCUGCGAGGAAAGAAAAUGAAUUCCUGAAUCGUAAAGGAUUCGAAAAGUGAUUCGUUCAAUCUUUUCGUAGAUGAUUCUCCAUGUUCCGGAUGGAAAGAAAUUUCGUAUGGGAUGGCUCGUUGAUUUUCUUCGCGACAAACUCGAUAUAGAAGUUCUCGCUCGUCGUGUUACCUGGAUCGCAAUCGAUCGGUGAACAAAAAUGCGUCGACUUGUAUUUCAUACAUAUAUUCAUAUUGGCACCGCCAGGUUCUGCGACGCGGCUGCUCGACAAUUUCUCGAAUUUCACAUCGCCAGUUAUUCCGUUUCGUUUCCAAGACAAGGUUACAUUUUUUGCACACCGAUCUAUCAAGAUUCACGUGAUAAAUUUUCGUGUAUAGAGACUGUAAAAUAUUUAAUUUCUUCCGAAAAAUUGAAGCUAGUUGAAAUAGCAUUUAUCUUGAAACGUCUUCUAUAUUGCAAGGAAGAAUGUCUGUUUUACUCAAAGAAGAACACGUCAACAGAGUACCUUGAGUUUGCAAGAAGAAAAAUUAAUGUACCUUGAGAAAACGUGGCUGGAACAAAGAGGAAGUUCUCUUUCAAAGUUGCAUGUCGUUUGUAAAGUGUCUAUUGUAACGCGAUAAUCGUUUUCCUACACGCUUCUUUAUCCGAAUUUACGGAGAGAACGAAGAUUAUUGCAACCGAAUUAACCGCAGUACCGUGGCGGAGUACAACGACGGUUUCGAUAACAGAAAUUUGUAGAAGUAGUUGAACUGGUGACGGUAAACCCAAAGAGAACUACCGUGGCACGAUCUCUGGUACAUUCCAAACACGACCUGUGCCAAUUUCUAAUCCGAAAGCAACCAAAAACGAUGGGGACCGAGGCCUUCGGUUAGCUAAAUUGGAAUAACGAAACCCAUCCUGAUGGAAUUCUACGUUCUCAUUAUUACCAGAGUGCAUUCUAACGCGGCUUGUUUCGCGAUGGCCAAUUAACGAAUUCUAUAUGAACAGCGUGCCCGUUCCUGCAUUAUUUUCCCGAAUUUAAUGCAAAUUUCAAAUGAGCUACGAUGAAUAUUUGAUCGACUAACAGAUAACAAAACAGUUCAGAGAGAAAUUAUUUAGCUGACUAAUAUAUGUAUAGUUGAAAAUAGUUUGCACUCCAAUAAAACAAUUUAUCGUCCAGAAAAUUAUUUCCAACUAAUUUUAUCCCACUAAUGGUCAGAGUAUGUUAUCAUCUGGAAACACAACUAGGACAAAUAUGGAAACUCAUCGAAUCAUCGAUUAAAUUCCAAUUAUUAUUAAUUAUAGUGGUGUCCUUUGACGCAGCUUCGAAUGCAGCUGGUCUUAAUUAGACUGAAAAUAUUCGAGGAAUCGAAAUGAAUUUAAUUUAUUCGUAGAAUGUGUGGUAGAGGAAAUAUGUCUCUAAAGAGGAGGAUUUAAUUUGAAUAGCUUCAUGGUUAAUAAUUCUGGUUAUGCCUCUGUUUCGAAAAGUUGCGAGCGGAAAUCGUAUACGGAAAUAGCUGAGGUACUUAGAUGCGGUGAAGCGACAAUAAUUAACGGAUGGUCGCUGAAACAGGAAACAGUAACCGGAAGGAAACCGAUGAAAUAGAUUUGCUCGCAUAAUUCUUAUUCGAACACUUGAUUAUUUACACCGUGAACGUGUGAAUAACUCUUAUCAUAGCGUAUCAUACUAGAUACGCUUAUUUUACUAUGGAGGUCAACUUGUUAAGCCGUCGUUUAAUUAAAACAAAUCCGACCAUUCAACAGAAGUGUGUCCAAUCAACAGCUCUCAAAAAAAUAUCACUCUAUUCACCGAUUCGAGCAUCGAAACAAACAAUCGAUCGUUUAGUUUGCUCCCGAAACAAUCAACAUCCAACGAAACAAAUUUGAAAACUCGCUUGGAGCAAGAGAGAUAGAUACUCUACUAUAUAAUGAAUAUAAAAAAAUCUCUACGAUACUGUGUAGUUUGGAUCGAAAGACAAAACGUUAUUUGGUAAGCUAGAAGGAUUUUUGAUCCAUCGUUUAUUGUCAAAACGGUGAGUGAGCCGCAUUAGCGUCGAAUAAUUAAAUCGUUUCGCGCCAAUAACCAUCGCUUAUACCCGCUAAUAAUUAUCACGGCCCGUUGCCGCGUUUCAUAACUUGUCGUUAAUUGUCGCGGAACGAAAUAUUCUGUCGAUCCAGCUACGGAAUCCUUUGUCGAGGUUCGAACGCAUUAAACUUCCGACAGCACGGCAGAGAGGACAGUGUGCAUUGUUAAAAAUAAUGAAUCAUCGAGUACCGACGAUUCAUUGCUCACCCAACGAACUUGUGAUAUAUAAUCGGGGUCAAAAACAUUUUGUAAUGCUCUCCUUUGUUUAUUAUACACGACGAUAAAGUAGAAAAUAACGCGAUAAAUACCGUGUAGGAAAUUGUUUCGUCAGGGGAUUAAUUUAUUAAACGAUCGACCGAGGUAAUUAUUUUGUAGAAAAUGCAAUAAUUUGAUUUACUGCUUCCUAAGAUCCAAUUUCGUAAUUUCUCACCUUUGUUAUUUUACCACGAUUGCGAGCAAUCCGUGCUAGACGAAAUGGGUAGGCAGAUCGUAAAACUAAUUCUAGGCGAGGCGUGCCAAAUAAUCUGGACUAUGUCGUAACUCAAACACUGUGAACGCGUAUUUGAGUUACGACGCGUUCGUGGCUGGCCUGAAACGAAUUUUUUCUCCCUUCGAAAAUUUGAUUGCCACCGUGCGAGUAUCACGCAUGAACGCCGGAUGCUCGUCAUUCUGGAUACAGAUUAUACGUUUGAGUUAUCGUCCACCGACUAUCAGAACCAAACGAGUUUCUCCGAUUCUUUGAACAAGCUAUUGUUUGGAAUCUGUGAAAUCCAGGGAAUUACAGCAAGUUUUCCCCUUAAUUUAGGAUUAGGCCGGUAACUUUUAGGCCAUAUUAAUGUACGGCUCCCUUACACCUCUAAUCAGGAAAAUUAAACGAGGCAUCGAUCAUUUCUAUUCGAAAGCCUUGUUUAUGAAAAGGUCUGCACGUGAUUUGCCGUUUCGAGCUCGAAACGAGAAGAAGAAGAACCGAUACGACCCAAAGAUUCCAGUUGCUCCGGUCUGCUCCAAUGGACACGGUUCGAUUCUACUCCAGGCAGACUAUAAAACGAACACUAUUCAUUCGUGAAUCGGUUGGUAAUUGCAAUGGCAGAAAGGGGGCGAGCUGCGUUUACGAUCCGUUUCGACUUGACUGCGUCUUUCAUUCGAACACUGCGACCGCCACUUUGAUUAACUUAAUUAGACCCUAAUGCUAAAUUAACGGCUCUUUCUUUCUCGUCAAGUUGUCGCGAAGGGAAUGAAGUUCCUUUCGAGGU